RNAcentral lists this ribosomal RNA (649 nucleotides) under Sarcocystis sp. RNAcentral's name for it is "SSU rRNA". It matches the Rfam family "Eukaryotic small subunit ribosomal RNA", at positions 455 to 1077 of the family's 1831-position model. The record is from RNAcentral. Lineage: Eukaryota; Apicomplexa; Conoidasida; Eucoccidiorida; Sarcocystidae.
CUCAGGGAGGUAGUAACAAGAAAUAACAACACUGGAAAUUUUAUUUCUAGUGAUUGGAAUGAUGGGAAUUUAAACCCCUUUCAGAGUAACAAUUGGAGGGCAAGUCUGGUGCCAGCAGCCGCGGUAAUUCCAGCUCCAAUAGCGUAUAUUAAAGUUGUUGCAGUUAAAAAGCUCGUAGUUGGAUGUCUGCUGGAAGCAAUCAGUCCGCCCUAUUUGUAGGGUGUGCACUUGAUGAAUUCUGGCAUUUUUGUCCCAAUGAUGUAACGGAAAAGAAUGCUGUUGGGCGAAAGUUCAAUAGCGUCUUUUCCGAUUAUUGGGAUACUGUUACUUUGAGAAAAUUAGAGUGUUUGAAGCAGGCUAAUUGCCUUGAAUACUGCAGCAUGGAAUAACAAUAUAGGAUUUCGGUUCUAUUUUGUUGGUUUCUAGGACUGAAAUAAUGAUUAAUAGGGACAGUUGGGGGCAUUCGUAUUUAACUGUCAGAGGUGAAAUUCUUAGAUUUGUUAAAGACGAACUACUGCGAAAGCAUUUGCCAAAGAUGUUUUCAUUAAUCAAGAACGAAAGUUAGGGGCUCGAAGACGAUCAGAUACCGUCGUAGUCUUAACCAUAAACUAUGCCGACUAGAGAUAGGAAAAUGUCAUUUUGCUGACUU